This 279-nucleotide long non-coding RNA is filed under the name Capsicum annuum. RNAcentral's name for it is "long non-coding RNA (CANN_LNC006728)". Lineage: Eukaryota; Viridiplantae; Streptophyta; Magnoliopsida; Solanales; Solanaceae. The record is from RNAcentral.
AAUUUAUAGCUUAGUAUGUAUGUUGUUUAUGAAUACAUACUAUCCAACAUUAAGUGUAAGUGGAUAUUUCCCCACUUAACGUACUAAGUGUUUAAUGAUAGAACAAUAGGGUAAAUAACCUCCCAAAUAGUUUAGAAGUCGUGGGUCCUUAUUAGGUUAAGUGGGUAAUAUCCUGAUUGCCCCUACUUAAACUGCAUAAAAAUCUUGUCAUAGUGUAUACGUACACCAUACCGGUCGUAUCCACCAAUAUGAGUUGUACCUACCACUCAUACACUAGGC